RNAcentral lists this ribosomal RNA (393 nucleotides) under Triticum aestivum (bread wheat). RNAcentral's name for it is "partial small subunit ribosomal RNA". The record is from RNAcentral. Lineage: Eukaryota; Viridiplantae; Streptophyta; Magnoliopsida; Poales; Poaceae.
AUGACCACUUCGACUGGUGUGCCGGUGAGUUCGCUGGCAGCGCUGGUGUGGGCUAUGGAGGAGACAGAGGGAGGAAAUCAAGAGCAGAGGAGGAAGUGGUGGGCGUUCAGAUCUCGACGCCGCUUCCCCGCUGGCCCGGAGGAAUUCGUGGUGGGAGCUGUGAUGGCCAUACCCACUCCAGGGACUCACUGGGUGCCCAUCCAGAUCGAGGACAGCGGGACAGAAACAGAGGAGGAGCUGCCAGAUCUAGGAGAGGGGACGAGCCAGAUGGUGGAAGAGAAAGGAGAGGGGAAGAAGACGAAGGAGAAGAACUUGGCCCCACGCAGAUCUCCACGCUUCCUGCGUUGCUCGCCACGUCUUCAGGAGGCGGCCAAGUUCGCGGCGGAGGGCUAG